This 267-nucleotide long non-coding RNA is filed under the name Gossypium barbadense (sea-island cotton). RNAcentral's name for it is "long non-coding RNA (GBAR_LNC005597)". The record is from RNAcentral. Lineage: Eukaryota; Viridiplantae; Streptophyta; Magnoliopsida; Malvales; Malvaceae.
UUUCACUAAGCUCAGUCCAAUGUAAUGGUGUAAGACAUUUACGACUGUAUAAAGCUUCAUAAGGUGCCAUUUUGAUACUCGAUUGGAAGUUAUUAUUGUAGCAAAUUCAAUUAGAGGUAAGUAUCACUCCCAUGUCCUUUUGAACUCAGAAUGCAACAUCUCAACAUAUCCUCAAGUAUCUGAAUGAUUUGUUUGGACUGACCAUCUAUUUAUGGAUGGAAAGCAAUGCUGAAAUGUAAUUUUGUGCCUAGACCAUCUUGCAGUUUC